Non-coding RNA from Cinara cedri, 273 nucleotides. The record is from the annotation of a GenBank genome assembly. Lineage: Eukaryota; Metazoa; Arthropoda; Insecta; Hemiptera; Aphididae.
UGUGGAUGCAUAAUGAAGACAGUGUGUUUAUAAUAAUGCUAUGGUUUGUGUCUAGGAAACAUGAACGACUGACAUUAUUUGUAUAGCUACCUGUCAACAUUUGUGUAAAACGGGCUUUAUAUCUUUAUACCUGCGCCGUGGUAUAAAUAAGCAAAAAGAUUAUCCAAACUUGAAACCUUGCCAAGAAUAGAGCUUAUACGUAUAAAUACUUUUGAAUGACAAAUUCCUAAUAAUAACGAAAAUACGCAUUCAGAACGAACUUGUUCCCUAUUA